CAAUAGCGUAUAUUAAAGUUGUUGCAGUUAAAAAGCUCGUAGUUGAAUUUCUGGCGGGCGCGCCGGUCUUCCAAGUGUUGUACUGGGCGCAGUCCGCCAUCCUUGUGGAGAGGGCUCGCAUUGAGUUGCGUGUCGGAUCUGCAUCAUUUACUGUGAAAAAAUUAGAGUGUUUAAAGCAGGCUGUCGCUUGAAUACAUUAGCAUGGAAUAAUAAGAUAGGACUUCGGUCUAUUUUGUUGGUUGCGAACCGAGGUAAUGAUUAAUAGGGAUAGUUGGGGGUAUUCAUAUUUAAUUGUCAGAGGUGAAAUUCUUGGAUUUAUGAAAGAUGAACAACUGCGAAAGCAUUUACCAAGGAUGUUUUCAUUGA
This 366-nucleotide ribosomal RNA is filed under the name uncultured eukaryote. RNAcentral describes it as "partial 18S ribosomal RNA". It matches the Rfam family "Eukaryotic small subunit ribosomal RNA", at positions 592 to 976 of the family's 1831-position model. The record is from RNAcentral.